Long non-coding RNA from Solea solea (common sole), 1093 nucleotides. RefSeq lists it as uncharacterized. NCBI's taxonomy places the organism in Eukaryota, Metazoa, Chordata, Actinopteri, Pleuronectiformes, Soleidae. The record is from RefSeq and is a predicted model, not a curated record. The transcript is spliced from 4 exons.
GUUACUUUCCCCCUCGCUCAUUUUCGUUUAUUGGUUGCUAUGGUAACACUUCCGGUAAUCAUUGAGGCAGCCGGUACAAAAGCGUAGUCCGCUCGCCGGCUCUUCCUCUGCUCCCAUUGUCGCCUGUCACUUUUAGUGUGAGGUCACGUCUCCGAUCGGGCGACUGGUUGGGUGCUGCUCCGUGCUGUGUGUGCACGCUGCUGUGGGUUGAUCGGCAGUGGUGCAUGCUGGCAGCUGCCUGAAGCUCUCUUCCUUUUCCUCUCGUGAGCGUUUGUUACUACAAGAAGGUGAUCUUAACCACCUAACGGCCGCUGCUGCUUUGUAGCCACUGAGUUUUGGUUCGUGUUGGUGGCCGCUGCGGGCUCGUGUGGCGUCAUUCGGUGGCCGUCGGAAACGUUACCGCCGACUGCCAGCCCAAGCAUACGCCGGGCCAAAGCGAUCGUUCGGCCGCAGCCCCGCACGACUGUUUUUACCGGGGAUUUUCCCCCUUCUACGGAGCGAGUGUGUGUGUGUGUGUGUGUGUGUGUGGGAGAAAGUGUGCAAUAUUGUUUUUGGGUAUUGUGUCUGGGUUAAAUGGGAUUUUGUUUAUGUAAUUUUAUUUAGUUAAUUUCAAGAUUGUGUUUUGUAAUUUAAGUAAUUUGAUUUUGUUUUGGUUUUCUUUCAUUUUCUUUUUCCUUGUCAGUAGUGAAGUUAUGUGAUUUAUUUAGGCCUGUGACCUGCCCGUGUUUAGUUCUGUUUUGCUUUUGUUUUGAAUGUAUGAAUCCCCACUAAUUUGUUAUUAUCCUCCUCCUGUUUCAGUUGCUGUAGGCCGGUGGUGGUGGUGGUGCUGGUGGUCUGGUGGUGGCAUCCUCCCGUCUUGUCUUGCUGUGUCCCUGGGAGCGGGUUUUCGUCACUGAGAGUGUCUGCCACGUGUGCUUGGUGAUUAUUGUGGUGUUUUUCUUUGGUGGAUCCCUCCCCUGCCCUAGCCUUCGUCCACUCACUUUGGCCUCAGCCCUGUUAAGGUUCUUUUCCCCCCAUUUUUGUUGGUGUGAAUGAGUUUUAUUGAAGUUUUUAGGAUUAUUGUUUAAUAAAAGAAACAUAUGUUAACUUGGAA